Pseudophryne corroboree (corroboree frog) is the source of this 869-nucleotide long non-coding RNA. RefSeq lists it as uncharacterized. The record is from RefSeq and is a predicted model, not a curated record. The transcript has 2 exons. NCBI's taxonomy places the organism in Eukaryota, Metazoa, Chordata, Amphibia, Anura, Myobatrachidae.
UCCCUAACCAAGAUGGCCACCGAACCUACUACUACGAAUGCAUAGUGCCAUCUAGUCACAAUGUUAGAGUGCCACAGUGGAAGACGGACUCCAGGGAGACCCUGUGACAACCGCUUAUUGGGGGUCAUUCCGAGUUGUUUGCUCGUUGCCGAUUUUCGCAACAGAACGAUUAAGGCGAAAAUGCACAUGGUGGAUUGCUGUAACGAAGCAUGACGGAUCCCCCAUCCGGCCUUCAGUCAUCUCAGAUAUGCCCAGAAGGGGCUGAAAUAAAUUGUCACUAAUUAGCCUUUUUGUCUGGGUCCGAUAAUAGCGAACUCUUACGUGUCUGUGUCAGAUAGCCGCUUUAUCUGGAAUGACAAUUAUUUUAUAAUUAUUUCACGUGAUUUUCAAUGUUACUGUUUAACAUGAUUUAUACAAUUUGUCAGAUCAUUGUAGGAUUAGUAGAUUGUGUGAUUCACUUCAAGGUAAUAAUUGUCAGUACACAUUAUUGCGUUGCGUUUUGUAGUCAAGAGUUUAAGUUCAUUUUAAUGGGGCAACAUUGCCCCCUAAAGACAGAAAGCUGCAUUGCAACAGAACAUUAUGACACAAGUGGCAGGGCUACAAUUGAAAAAGGAAAUCCCUUUUGCAUGCUGUCCUUGUAUAUAGUCCUUGCCAACAUUGAUCUGAUUCCAUUAGAAUGUGUGUAGGGACUUUGCUGCUCUAUAUAUUUAUCGAACUUGUGGGUUGAAAUGAUGUAAAUAUGUAUUUUUGUUAACUUGUCUUUAACAUCUAAUGUACAUACCGUAUGUCAUCUUUUUCUAUCUCUUAUGUAUGAAACUCUAGCGGCACCAUAUAAAUAAAAUAUAAUAAUAACUUUUAAUUAGUAUAAA